UACGGAGGAUGCGAGCGUUAUCCGGAUUUAUUGGGUUUAAAGGGUGCGUAGGCGGGAUAUUAAGUCAGCGGUGAAAGUUUGAGGCUCAACCUUAAAAUUGCCGUUGAAACUGGUGUUCUUGAGUAUAAAUGAAGUGGGCGGAAUUUGUGGUGUAGCGGUGAAAUGCAUAGAUAUCACAAGGAACUCCGAUUGCGAAAGCAGCUCACUAAGCUAUAACUGACGCUGAUGCACGAAAGCGUGGGUAUCGAAC
Molecule: ribosomal RNA, 250 nt
Filed under: uncultured bacterium
Lineage: Bacteria
Description: partial 16S ribosomal RNA
Rfam family: Bacterial small subunit ribosomal RNA
Source: RNAcentral